Long non-coding RNA from Lineus longissimus, 491 nucleotides. RefSeq lists it as uncharacterized. The transcript is spliced from 3 exons. NCBI's taxonomy places the organism in Eukaryota, Metazoa, Nemertea, Pilidiophora, Heteronemertea, Lineidae. The record is from RefSeq and is a predicted model, not a curated record.
UUGGGCUUGGGUGUAACGGGGGCCUGGAGAAACCAUCACGUUGCAUGGAUGCUCGGAGACACUUGUCACCCCUGGAAUGCCUGCUGUGAACAAGAGCUGGGGCUGAACCAAGCUAAGAUUAUUGACAAUCCCUAUCAUGUUGCCAACGUCACCAAUGGCAGGACUGAAGAUGGAUCCAUUGGAAACUAAAGGCUUUUCCUCAGCCAACACCUCAUGAACUUGACUGGAAAAUAGCACAGGUGAUCAAGACUGAUACCGCACAAUCGUCCUCCUGGUUAACAAGCUAAGACCAAUCCAGAUGGGGAGGGUUGGCCCUCCAACACCACUACCAAUGCUCUCAGCUGGGAUCAGUGGACUGCAGCAAUAUCUUACUGAAGACAAAGAUGAGGGAAUCUACAAUGUUGAUGCAAGAUUGCCCUGUGAUGUCCAGGCGUCUUUGACUACAACGCUUUGGUUCAGCUUUGGUCCUCGGAUGGUAAAGUUUGGACACA